This 400-nucleotide unclassified non-coding RNA is filed under the name soil metagenome. RNAcentral describes it as "partial contains 5.8S ribosomal RNA, internal transcribed spacer 2, and large subunit ribosomal RNA". The stretch from base 1 to 122 matches the Rfam family "5.8S ribosomal RNA", at positions 35 to 154 of the family's 154-position model. The record is from RNAcentral.
GAUGAAGAACGUAGCGAAAUGAGAUACUUGGUGUGAAUUGCAGAAUCCCGUGAACCAUCGAGUCUUUGAACGCAAGUUGCGCCUCAAGCCAUUAGGUUGAGGGCACGUCUGCCUGGGCGUCACAUAUCGUUGCCUGAUGCCAGUUUCCUCGUGAUGGGUGACUGUGCAGGGCGAAUGAUGGCUUCCCGUGAGCAUUGUUGCCUCAUGGUUGGUUGAAAAUUGAGUCCUUGGUAGGGAGCGCCGUGAUAGAUGGUGGUUGAGUGACGAACGAGACCCAAUCAUGUGAGACCCCUACCGAAUUUGGCCUUCAUGACCCACAUGCGUCUUUGGAACGCUCAUGACGAGACCUCCGGUCAGGCGGGGCUACCCGCUGAGUUUAAGCAUAUCAAUAAGCGGAGGA